UGGGCGGGGCUUGUGCCACGUAGGCGGGGCCCCUCCCCGCCCUUUCACCAUUUAACUCCUUCCCUCCCGCAGCCCUGCCGCCCGCUCCUCUGGCCGCUCCCCCCGCAGCCGGCACCCCUCGCCCCCCCCAGCCCCCCCCCAACCCCACUUUGGGGGGCAAGGGGGGGCCCCCCCUGGCCGCCUACGCCCUCCCCGGUCCCGGCCCGCAGCGCCUUUUGCUGGCCCCCGACAUGCAGGCCCGCCUGCCUUCCGGCGAGGUGGUGAGCAUCGGGCAGCUGGCGGCGUUGGCCCAGCGGCCGGGGGGGACCCCAGGAGGGGCGACCCCGGGGGGGGGCCAAGCCCCUCACCCUGCAGUUGCAGGGCAGCAAACUCACCCUGGCUGCCCCCCCCGCUGCGGCACCUGGCCCUCGCCCCCCCCCCCGCGGCCUCCCACGGAACGUGGUGCAUCUGGUGGCGGCUGGGGGGCAGCACCCGCUCCUGGGCCCCCCCGCCCAGGUCACCCUGCUGGCACCCGUCGCCCCCCCGGCCCCCACAGGGGGUCCUCCUGCCGGGACCCCCCCCCAGCCCCCCACCAUUGGCCUCCCCAUUGCCACCGCUCAAGGUAAGGGGGGGGGGUUAUCUCUGGGUGCCCCCCCAAACCACCAGGACCCACCUGGGUGUCUCUGAGCCCCCCCCCCCAGAUCUCUGGGUGCCCCCAGGAUCCCUCUGGGUGUCCC
This 716-nucleotide long non-coding RNA is filed under the name Aquila chrysaetos chrysaetos. Its description in RNAcentral is "lncRNA (ENSACCG00020011234.1)". Lineage: Eukaryota; Metazoa; Chordata; Aves; Accipitriformes; Accipitridae. The record is from RNAcentral.